RNA transcript from Brassica rapa (field mustard), 1580 nucleotides. It is a transcript of the gene named transcription factor SRM1, with no coding region annotated. The record is from RefSeq and is a predicted model, not a curated record. NCBI's taxonomy places the organism in Eukaryota, Viridiplantae, Streptophyta, Magnoliopsida, Brassicales, Brassicaceae.
CCUCUGGGUCAUUCUCAUUCACCAUCACAUUCAGCUUCUUCUGGCAAUUCCCAGAAAACCCAAUAAACCCCUAAUCUCUCCUCCUUUCAAAGUUGAAACCUUUCACGGCCAAUGUCUCUCCAAUACUCUGUUCUUGGCUUCUCAGUACAGUACGGCAAAGUUAUCUUCUCGUAGGGUUUAUUGACCCUUAUUUUUUUGCCAAUUCGAUUCAGUAGACGUAAAGGUUCUCUUUUGGAUUCUCCGUGAUUCUCUCUCGAUCUCCUUUAGUCUAUUUGUAUCCUCAGAUUUUUGAAUUGAAUUAAUCAAUUGGAGGAAUCUGAGUAUUUGAUAGUAUUGGGGAACGCUAAAGAUUCGAACUUUGGCUGGAAUCUCAUAUUUUGCAAUGGUGUUUUAGCUUAAUUCUAUCGAGUUUCUGGUGGGUUUUGAUUGCGAAGAUGAUUGUGGAGGAAGUUAGUGAUGGUUCUGUGUGGAGUAGGGAAGAUGAUAUCGCCUUCGAGAGAGCUCUUGCGAGUUAUACAGAUGAAUCAGAGGAGAAGUGGGAGAAGAUUGCUGCAGAUGUUCCGGGGAAGAGUGUUGAGCAGAUUAAAGAGCAUUACGAGGUUUUAGUUGAAGAUGUUGGGAGGAUUGAGUCAGGGUGUGUGCCGCUUCCUGACUAUGGUUCUCCUGAGGGAUCUAGUGGUCAUGGCGGUGAUGAUGGAGGAAGCGGUAAGAAAGGAGGGAAUAGUCAUGCGGGUGAGUCUAACCAGGGGAGUAAAGCGAAGUCGGAACAAGAACGACGAAAGGGUAUUGCCUGGACAGAAGAUGAACACAGGCUAUUUCUUCUUGGUUUGGAUAAGUAUGGGAAAGGAGAUUGGCGUAGCAUUUCUCGUAACUUCGUGGUAACAAGAACACCGACCCAAGUCGCAAGCCACGCUCAGAAGUACUUCAUUCGUCUAAACUCAAUGAACAAAGACAGAAGACGAUCAAGCAUUCACGACAUCACCAGUGUUGGCGAUGCAGAUGUCUCAACUCCACAAGGACCCAUCACUGGUCAGAACAACAACAACGGCAAUAACAACAACAACAACAACGGUUCUACUGCUGUUGCUGGAGGAGGAAACAAAUCAGCCAAGCAAGCCGCCUCUCAACCACCACCAGGACCUCCUCAUAUGUAUGGAACACCCACCAUAGGUCAACCUGGACCAUUGGUCUCAGCAGUUGGCACGCCAGUGAACCUCCCAGCUCCACCUCACUUGGCUUUUGGAGUCCAUACUGCUCCUGUCCCUGGUGCACCAGUGAAUAUGGGUCAGAUGCCGUACACCAUGCCGCGUACACCAACUGCUCAUAGAUAACGUUGAAAGAUUGUAGUAGUGUGCUCUACGGGUUUAGGUGUAAGAAAGAUGUGUAAAGGAUUUAGUGAAAUAUUCAAGCUUGUUCCUUCUGAGUGAGGUUUUUUUUAUUUAUUACUUUAGUUUGUUGGGUUUUUUACGAUGUUCCAAUAAUAGAUUAAGAUCAUCAAAUUUCUUUUUGUAUGUGAAAACAAUAAUGCUUAUGUGCCAAAGAUUUGAAGCAAGAUGCAGACAUCUUUGUAUGGGUUUUAA